UUCACUUCAAAAAUUCAUAAGUCAAUGAAAACAAUUAAGAAAUGAAUGGGACCAAAACAGGGAUGUACUACAAUGUGUCUACAACCAUCAUACCAAAUUUCACAUUCAUCUAAAACCAUAUGAGCAUUUCACAAAGAUAACACAAACAUGUGUCACAUGAGCUUGCACAAUUGACAUACAGAGAUGAAAAACAUCAAUCAAAUUGAAAAUGCCACAUAAAAAUCCAGAAAACUUCACAUAGCAUCUCAACAUAUCCAUAAUCAUCCAUGUAAAAUUUCAACUCAUUCCAACAAUCAUAGGCUAGGCAAAUAAUUUCAUGAAGUUGCCCUAGUUAGGUGUGACACAAAUUGUCACACCUAAGUUCCAAAAAUCAUAUCUCACUCCACAGGUAUCCAAAAUUC
This 401-nucleotide long non-coding RNA is filed under the name Lathyrus oleraceus (garden pea). RNAcentral describes it as "Pisum sativum (pea) long non-coding RNA (PSAT_LNC021562)". The record is from RNAcentral. Lineage: Eukaryota; Viridiplantae; Streptophyta; Magnoliopsida; Fabales; Fabaceae.